GAUGAACGCUGGCGGCGUGCCUAAUACAUGCAAGUCGAGCGAACAGACGAGGAGCUUGCUCCUCUGACGUUAGCGGCGGACGGGUGAGUAACACGUGGAUAACCUACCUAUAAGACUGGGAUAACUUCGGGAAACCGGAGCUAAUACCGGAUAAUAUAUUGAACCGCAUGGUUCAAUAGUGAAAGACGGUUUUGCUGUCACUUAUAGAUGGAUCCGCGCCGCAUUAGCUAGUUGGUAAGGUAACGGCUUACCAAGGCAACGAUGCGUAGCCGACCUGAGAGGGUGAUCGGCCACACUGGAACUGAGACACGGUCCAGACUCCUACGGGAGGCAGCAGUAGGGAAUCUUCCGCCAAGGGCGAAAGCCUGACGGAGCAACGCCGCGUGAGUGAUGAAGGUCUUCGGAUCGUAAAACUCUGUUAUUAGGGAAGAACAAAUGUGUAAGUAACUAUGCACGUCUUGACGGUACCUAAUCAGAAAGCCACGGCUAACUACGUG
Molecule: ribosomal RNA, 497 nt
Filed under: uncultured bacterium
Lineage: Bacteria
Description: partial 16S ribosomal RNA
Rfam family: Bacterial small subunit ribosomal RNA
Source: RNAcentral